AGGUCAAGCUACAAAGGGCGCAUGGUGAAUGCCUUGGCACUAGGAGCCGAAGAAGGACGCGAUAAGCUGCGAUAAGCUUUGGGUAGGCGCAAAUAGCCAGUGAUCCAGAGAUUUCCGAAUGGGGAAACCUACAUAGUUAACACUAUGUACUGUGCACUGAAUAAAUAGGUGUAUGGAGGUAAACCCGGGGAACUGAAACAUCUAAGUACCCGGAGGAAGAGAAAGAAACAUCGAUUUCCAAAGUAGCGGCGAGCGAAAUGGAAAGAGCCCAAACCUAAGCCUUUGGCUUAGGGGUUGAGGACAGAACAUAAAUGCACAAAUUUUUUAGUCGAAGACAGCUGGAAAGCUGCUCCGCAGAAGGUAAUAGGCCUGUAGACAAAAAGAAAUGAGUGAAAGUUCUGAUCCAGAGUACCACGAGACACGUGAAACCUUGUGGGAAGCAGGGAGGACCACCUCCCAAGGCUAAAUACUACCUAGUGACCGAUAGUGAAGAAGUACCGUGAGGGAAAGGUGAAAAGAACCCCGGAAGGGGAGUGAAAUAGAACCUGAAACCGUGUGCCUACAACCGGUCGAAGCACUUUAUAUGUGUGACGACGUGCUUUUUGUAGAACGAGCCAACGAGUUACGAUAUGUAGCGAGGUUAAGUACUUAAGGUACGGAGCCGAAGGGAAACCGAGUCUGAAUAGGGCGUAUAGUUGCAUGUCGUAGACCCGAAACCGGGUGACCUAUCCAUGGCCAGGAUGAAGCGACAGUAAAAUGUCGUGGAGGUCCGAACCACGUUGGUGUUGAAAAACCAUGGGAUGAGCUGUGGAUAGCGGAGAAAUUCCAAUCGAACUCGGAGAUAGCUGGUUCUCCUCGAAAUAGCUUUAGGGCUAGCGUCGGUUAAUUGAGUAAUGGAGGUAGAGCACUGAAUAGGCUAGGGGGCAUAACGCUUACUGAACCUUAUCAAACUCCGAAUGCCAUAUACUUUUAUUCCGGCAGUCAGACUGCGAAUGAUAAGAUCCGUAGUCAAAAGGGAAACAGCCCAGACCAUCAGCUAAGGUCCCAAAGUGUAAGUUAAGUGGUAAAGGAUGUGGGAUUUCUAAGACAACUAGGAUGUUGGCUUAGAAGCAGCCACUCAUUUAAAGAGUGCGUAAUAGCUCACUAGUCAAGAGAUCCCGCGCCGAAGAUGUCCGGGGCUAAAACUUACCACCGAAGCUAUGGAUGUGUACUACGUACACGUGGUAGAGGAGCUUUCUGCAUUGGCUGAAGUCGUACCGAAAGGAGCGGUGGACGAUGCAGAAGUGAGAAUGUUGGCAUAAGUAGCGAGAGCUAGGUGAGAAUCCUAGCGGUCGAAAACCUAAGGUUUCCUGAGGAAGGCUCGUCCUCUCAGGGUUAGUCGGGACCUAAGCCGAGGCCGAAAGGCGUAGGUGAUGGACAACGGGUUGAUAUUCCCGUACCACUUGCAGACGUUAUUACAAAUGGGGUGACGCAGGAGGAUAGGUUGUGCAUACUAUUGGAUGUAUGUUCAAGCAUUUAGGAGUAGCUAGUAGGCAAAUCCGCUAGCCGAAUCUGAGGUGUGAUGAGGAGCUCAAUAGAGCGAAGUAACUGAUUCCACGCUGCCAAGAAAAGCCUCUAUGGAGGAAGCAAGUGCCCGUACCGCAAACCGACACAGGUAGGUGAGGAGAGAAUCCUAAGACCAUCGGAAGAACUGCUGUUAAGGAACUCGGCAAAUUGACCCCGUAACUUCGGGAGAAGGGGUGCCUACGCAAGUAGGUCGCAGAGAAUAGGCCCAAGCAACUGUUUAGCAAAAACACAGGUCUCUGCUAAAGCGAAAGCUGAUGUAUAGGGGCUGACGCCUGCCCGGUGCUGGAAGGUUAAGGGGAAUGCUUAGCGCAAGCGAAGGUAUGAACUUAAGCCCCAGUAAACGGCGGCCGUAACUAUAACGGUCCUAAGGUAGCGAAAUUCCUUGUCGGGUAAGUUCCGACCCGCACGAAUGGCGUAAUGAUUUGGGCACUGUCUCAACAGCAAAUCCGGCGAAAUUGUAGUACCAGUGAAGAUGCUGGUUACCCGCGAUUGGACGGAAAGACCCCGUAGAGCUUUACUGUAGUUUAGCAUUGAGUUUCGGUAUUGUCUGUACAGGAUAGGUGGGAGGCUGAGAAACAGGACCGUCAGGUUCUGCGGAGCCAUCCUUGGGAUACCACCCUGACAGUACUGGGAUUCUAACUGGAGGCCAUGAAACUGGUCACAGGACAUUGCUAGAUGGGCAGUUUGACUGGGGCGGUCGCCUCCAAAAAAGUAACGGAGGCGCCCAAAGGUUCCCUCAGCGCGGUCGGAAAUCGCGCGAAGAGUGCAAAGGCAGAAGGGAGCCUGACUGCGAGACCUACAAGUCGAGCAGGGACGAAAGUCGGGCUUAGUGAUCCGGUGGUACCUCGUGGGAGGGCCAUCGCUCAACGGAUAAAAGCUACCUCGGGGAUAACAGGCUGAUCUCCCCCAAGAGUCCACAUCGACGGGGAGGUUUGGCACCUCGAUGUCGGCUCGUCGCAUCCUGGGGCUGAAGUAGGUCCCAAGGGUUGGGCUGUUCGCCCAUUAAAGCGGCACGCGAGCUGGGUUCAGAACGUCGUGAGACAGUUCGGUCCCUAUCCGUCGCGGGCGUAGGAAAUUUGAAGGGAGCUGUCCUUAGUACGAGAGGACCGGGAUGGACAGACCUCUGGUGCACCAGUUGUCACGCCAGUGGCACAGCUGGGUAGCUAUGUCUGGAAGGGAUAAACGCUGAAAGCAUCUAAGCGUGAAGCCCACCCUAAGAUGAGAUUUCCCAUAACGUAAGUUAGUAAGACUCCUGGAAGACCACCAGGUUGAUAGGUGAGGGGUGUAAGCAUGGUAACAUGUUCAGCUGACUCAUACUAAUAAGUCGAGGGCUUGAUCUAAA
This 2908-nucleotide ribosomal RNA is filed under the name Clostridium sulfidigenes. RNAcentral describes it as "bacterial LSU rRNA". It matches the Rfam family "Bacterial large subunit ribosomal RNA". Lineage: Bacteria; Bacillati; Bacillota; Clostridia; Eubacteriales; Clostridiaceae. The record is from RNAcentral.